RNAcentral lists this long non-coding RNA (226 nucleotides) under Elaeis guineensis (African oil palm). RNAcentral describes it as "long non-coding RNA (EGUI_LNC025011)". The record is from RNAcentral. Lineage: Eukaryota; Viridiplantae; Streptophyta; Magnoliopsida; Arecales; Arecaceae.
UGCUGUUGCAUGUCGUCUGCACCUCCGACACCAUUGUUGCCGUCCGCGGUCCGUCGAAGGUAAGGAUAUUUCCAAUCUUUUUUUUUGGUUGAUCGAGCCAUUGGGGGGUGGAGAGGGGGCCGUGGGCGAUCGAAGGCAACACGGGGGCGGGGAGGGGGCCGUGGGCGGCUGGGGAGGGGGUCGAUCAGGGAAGGGGUCGAACGGGGAGGAGUGGGUGACGGCGGGG